AAACCAUGGUGAGGACACUGUAUUAAAAAAUUAUUGAACUGUUCCCAAGCUUUUGAAAAUGACUCAUCAACCUGUUGACUGAAUUGCAUGAUUUUAUCCCGUGUGCAU
This 108-nucleotide small nucleolar RNA is filed under the name Prunus persica (peach). RNAcentral describes it as "Plant small nucleolar RNA R71". It matches the Rfam family "Plant small nucleolar RNA R71". From Rfam's summary of the family: R71 is a member of the C/D box family of snoRNAs containing the C (UGAUGA) and D (CUGA) box motifs. Multiple nearly identical copies of this snoRNA have been identified in Arabidopsis, and it is thought to function as a 2'-O-ribose methylation guide for 18S ribosomal RNA. The record is from Rfam by way of RNAcentral. Lineage: Eukaryota; Viridiplantae; Streptophyta; Magnoliopsida; Rosales; Rosaceae.